AUUGAACGCUGGCGGCAGGCCUAACACAUGCAAGUCGAGCGGAUGAAGGGAGCUUGCUCCUGGAUUCAGCGGCGGACGGGUGAGUAAUGCCUAGGAAUCUGCCUGGUAGUGGGGGAUAACGUCCGGAAACGGGCGCUAAUACCGCAUACGUCCUGAGGGAGAAAGUGGGGGAUCUUCGGACCUCACGCUAUCAGAUGAGCCUAGGUCGGAUUAGCUAGUUGGUGGGGUAAAGGCCUACCAAGGCGACGGUCCGUAACUGGUCUGAGAGGAUGAUCAGUCACACUGGAACUGAGACACGGUCCAGACUCCUACGGGAGGCAGCAGUGGGGAAUAUUGGACAAUGGGCGAAAGCCUGAUCCAGCCAUGCCGCGUGUGUGAAGAAGGUCUUCGGAUUGCAAAGCACUUUAAGUUGGGAGGAAGGGCAGUAAGUUAAUACCUUGCUGUUUUGACGUUACCAACAGAAUAAGCACCGGCUAACUUCGUG
RNAcentral lists this ribosomal RNA (484 nucleotides) under uncultured bacterium. RNAcentral describes it as "partial 16S ribosomal RNA". It matches the Rfam family "Bacterial small subunit ribosomal RNA", at positions 30 to 507 of the family's 1533-position model. The record is from RNAcentral.